GAGUCUCCAUAGAUCAUACAAAGAGAGAACAGAGAAACAAGGCAACAAAUUGGGAUACGCUGCAACACUCUGCACUGAACAUCUGACUUCAAUUAGCCAACCCUCAAUUUCCAAUACAAAAAUCACAAAAGGAUUACUAAGGGAGAAUUUAUAAUGGAAAAGAGAUUCAGCCUAUAUUUAUCCUGAUGUGGCUGUGAACUGGACCAUCUGCUAUAGGAAGGAGCACCUGAAGACUUGUUGGCUGAAGUUCUCUGUCUGGCCUCGAAAGACAUUCAAAUUAGCCACCACUGGAGUAGAUGACCUAAAAGUUCUUACAACUCUCAAUUAUACCCAGUGAUGUCUCGAUUAGCACUUAUUAUAAAAAUUAAAAUUUAUAAUUCAACAUUUAUACCAUCCAGAAAAAGUUAAAAUAUAUUAAUAGCCUAUUUCUCUUCAAUAAAGCGUAUAUAUAACUCUA
Molecule: long non-coding RNA, 457 nt
Filed under: Homo sapiens (human)
Lineage: Eukaryota; Metazoa; Chordata; Mammalia; Primates; Hominidae
Description: non-protein coding lnc-ANO3-5:1
Source: RNAcentral